RNAcentral lists this ribosomal RNA (497 nucleotides) under uncultured bacterium. RNAcentral's name for it is "partial 16S ribosomal RNA". It matches the Rfam family "Bacterial small subunit ribosomal RNA", at positions 28 to 507 of the family's 1533-position model. The record is from RNAcentral.
GAUGAACGCUGGCGGCGUGCCUAAUACAUGCAAGUCGAGCGAACGGACGAGAAGCUUGCUUCUCUGAUGUUAGCGGCGGACGGGUGAGUAACACGUGGAUAACCUACCUAUAAGACUGGGAUAACUUCGGGAAACCGGAGCUAAUACCGGAUAAUAUUUUGAACCGCAUGGUUCAAAAGUGAAAGACGGUCUUGCUGUCACUUAUGGAUGGAUCCGCGCUGCAUUAGCUAGUUGGUAAGGUAACGGCUUACCAAGGCAACGAUGCAUAGCCGACCUGAGAGGGUGAUCGGCCACACUGGAACUGAGACACGGUCCAGACUCCUACGGGAGGCAGCAGUAGGGAAUCUUCCGCAAUGGGCGAAAGCCUGACGGAGCAACGCCGCGUGAGUGACGAAGGUCUUCGGAUCGUAAAACUCUGUUAUUAGGGAAGAACAUAUGUGUAAGUAACUGUGCACAUCUUGACGGUACCUAAUCAGAAAGCCACGGCUAACUACGUG